UACAGAGGUCUCAAGCGUUGUUCGGAUUCAUUGGGCGUAAAGGGUGCGUAGGCGGUGAGGUAAGUUGGAUGUGAAAUCCCGGAGCUUAACUCCGGAACUGCAUUCAAUACUGCCUUGCUAGAGUGCUGGAGAGGAGAUUGGAAUUCACGGUGUAGCAGUGAAAUGCGUAGAUAUCGUGAGGAAGACCAGUGGCGAAGGCGAAUCUCUGGACAGUGACUGACGCUGAGGCACGAAGGCUAGGGGAGCAAACGGG
This 253-nucleotide ribosomal RNA is filed under the name uncultured prokaryote. RNAcentral's name for it is "partial 16S ribosomal RNA". It matches the Rfam family "Bacterial small subunit ribosomal RNA", at positions 524 to 776 of the family's 1533-position model. The record is from RNAcentral.